GCGGUGAUGGUCCAACGGCACGACACCAGAGUCCCAUCCUGGAGACGGGGGUUCGAUUCCCCCUCACCGCA
This 71-nucleotide transfer RNA is filed under the name Polyangiaceae bacterium LLY-WYZ-15_(1-7). RNAcentral describes it as "tRNA-Gly". It matches the Rfam family "tRNA". Rfam says of the family: Transfer RNA (tRNA) molecules are approximately 80 nucleotides in length. The record is from RNAcentral. Lineage: Bacteria; Pseudomonadati; Myxococcota; Polyangiales; Polyangiaceae.